This 1049-nucleotide long non-coding RNA is filed under the name Equus caballus (horse). RNAcentral's name for it is "lncRNA (ENSECAG00000048728.1)". The record is from RNAcentral. Lineage: Eukaryota; Metazoa; Chordata; Mammalia; Perissodactyla; Equidae.
CUUGCCUCUGCCUCAGUUUCCCAGCCUGCAGUGAGGCAUGCAGACUCGGGGCUGAGUCCCAGCUGUGCCCUGAUGAACUGUUCGCUUACCCAUCCCUGAGUCUUGGAUCACCCAGUCCUGUUAGCUCUGUUCUGGACAUCCCCCCAAAGGUGUCCGUGUCCUAAUCCCUGGGACCUAUGAAUACACUGCCUUACCUCGCAACGGAGAAUUAAAGAUGCUGAAGGAGUUACAGUUGCUAAUGAGCCAACCUUGAGACAGGAGCAUGUCCUGGAUUGACCAGGUGGACCUAACGUCAUCACAAGGGUCCUCGUACAUGGAAGACGGAGGCGGAAUAGGGAGUACCAGAGAGAGGCAGCACAAGAAAGAUUUGGCCCAAUGUGGAUAGAAGAAGGGGCCAUGAAUCAGGGAACUUGGGCCCGUCUAGAAGCUGGAAAGGAAAACAAUUUCUCCCUUUCCCCUGGAGCCUCCAGAAGGAACUAGCCCUGCUGACACCUUGAUUUUAACCCAGUGAGAUCCAUUUUGGAUUUCUGACUUCCACAACUGUAAGAUAACAAACUUAUCUUGUCAUGAGCCACUAAGUUUAUGGUAAUUUGUUACAGCAGUGAUAGGAAAUGAAUGCAGAUUUUGGUCGCAGGAGUAGGGUGCUACUGUAACAAAUACCUAAAAAUGUAGAAGUGGCUUUGGGAAUAGGCAAUGCAGAGGCUGGAGGAAUUUUGAAGGGCAUGAUAGAAAAAGCCUAGAUUUCCUUAAACAUGUUGUUGGUAGAAGUAUGGAUGUUAACAACUCUGCUACUGAAGACUCAGAAAUAAAUGAGGGGCACAGCAAAGGAAACCUAAUUCACCACUAAGAAUACCAAAAAUCAUCCUGAACAGCCUGUUAGUAGAAAUAUGAAUGUUAAAGGCAUUGUUGGUGAGGCCUGAGGGAGAUGAAGACUGUGCCACUGGAAAUUGGAGGAAAGGAGGUCCUUGUUAUAUGGUGAUACAUAGCAGAAAGACUAGCUGAAUUCUGUCCUCCUACAGUUAAUGGAAAGCAGGACUUGUAAAUAAUCA